GACGAACGCUGGCGGCGUGCUUAACACAUGCAAGUCGAACGGAAAGGCCCCCAUCUUGGUGGGCGUGCUCGAGUGGCGAACGGGUGAGUAACACGUGGGUGAUCUGCCCUUUACUUCGGGAUAAGCUUGGGAAACUGGGUCUAAUACCGGAUAGGACCUUGGUUUAGUGUCUCCUGGUGGAAAGAUUAUUUUUUUGGUGCCGUAUGAGCUCGCGCCCUCUCAGCUUGUUGGUGGGUUAAUUGCCUACCAAGGCGUCGACCGGUAGCCGGCCUGCGAGGGUGGACGCACACGAUGGGACUGAGGGACGGGCCAGACACGGACGGGAGGAGGCGGUGGGGAAUAUUGCACAAUGGGCGCAAGACGGAUGCAGCGAGGCCGAGUGGGGGAUGACGGCCUUCGGGUUGUAAACUCCUUUCGUUAGGAACGAAGCCGCACUUUUUUUGGGUGUGGUGACGGUACCUUUGUUAAGAAGCACCGGCUAACUACGUG
Molecule: ribosomal RNA, 489 nt
Filed under: uncultured bacterium
Lineage: Bacteria
Description: partial 16S ribosomal RNA
Rfam family: Bacterial small subunit ribosomal RNA
Source: RNAcentral